GGAGUUGUGCCUGAAAUAAAGGACCACUUUGAUAGAGUGUAUUAUGGGGGUUAAAUUCCCCCCAACUCCU
Molecule: transfer RNA, 70 nt
Filed under: Perccottus glenii (Chinese sleeper)
Lineage: Eukaryota; Metazoa; Chordata; Actinopteri; Gobiiformes; Odontobutidae
Description: tRNA-Ile
Rfam family: tRNA
About the family: Transfer RNA (tRNA) molecules are approximately 80 nucleotides in length.
Source: RNAcentral